UAAGAUAGGAAGGGGAUAGGUGCAGAGACUCAAUGGAAGCUAUUCUAACGAAUGAAUCUCAUUUGGUCCAAUACUGUAUUUAUAGAACGCUCUAUUUACACCUAAAAAGUGGGAAUGUGAUAUAACAUCAGACAAAACUCGCGAUCAGAACUUGAAUCGUUCCAAGCAUCUAUUCGUAAGAUAGAUGCCAGAUUCGAGUUGAAGUACUGAUUUUACAUUAAGUAAUCCAAUUAUGAACUUCUCUACUUUAGAUAGAGAAUUGAAUCAGUUUUUGGAAUAAAUGGUUGGACGAGAAUAAAGAUAGAGUCCAAUUCUACGUGUCAAUGUCAACAACAAUGCAAAUUGCAGUAGGAGGAAAAUCCGUUGGCUUUAUAGACCGUGAGGGUUCAAGUCCCUCUAUCCCCA
This 405-nucleotide transfer RNA is filed under the name Picea likiangensis. RNAcentral's name for it is "partial tRNA-Leu". Lineage: Eukaryota; Viridiplantae; Streptophyta; Pinopsida; Pinales; Pinaceae. The record is from RNAcentral.